Molecule: ribosomal RNA, 129 nt
Filed under: Triticum aestivum (bread wheat)
Lineage: Eukaryota; Viridiplantae; Streptophyta; Magnoliopsida; Poales; Poaceae
Description: partial small subunit ribosomal RNA
Source: RNAcentral
AUGCGGGAUAUAAAAACAUAUCUCUCUGUAGCACCCGUGCAAAGUACUCUAUGGUUUGGUGCUUUAGCAGGUUUAUUGAUAGAAAUUAAUCGUUUAUUCCCAGAUGCUUUGUCAUUCCCUUUUUUUUAA